Molecule: ribosomal RNA, 75 nt
Filed under: Priestia aryabhattai
Lineage: Bacteria; Bacillati; Bacillota; Bacilli; Caryophanales; Bacillaceae
Description: Bacillus aryabhattai partial 16S ribosomal RNA
Rfam family: Bacterial small subunit ribosomal RNA
Source: RNAcentral
AUUUUUUCGGAGAGUUUGAUCCUGGCUCAGGAUGAACGCUGGCGGCGUGCCUAAUACAUGCAAGUCGAGCGAACU